GCCAACGGCAUAGCUGGGUAGCUAUGUGUGGACGGGAUAAGUGCUGAAAGCAUCUAAGCAUGAAGCCCCCCUCAAGAUGAGAUUUCCCAACUUCGGUUAUAAGAUCCCUCAAAGAUGAUGAGGUUAAUAGGUUCGAUGUGGAAGCAUGGUGACAUGUGGAGCUGACGAAUACUAAUCGAUCGAAGACUUAAUCAAAA
RNAcentral lists this ribosomal RNA (197 nucleotides) under Staphylococcus aureus. Its description in RNAcentral is "partial 23S ribosomal RNA". It matches the Rfam family "Bacterial large subunit ribosomal RNA", at positions 2728 to 2925 of the family's 2925-position model. Lineage: Bacteria; Bacillati; Bacillota; Bacilli; Caryophanales; Staphylococcaceae. The record is from RNAcentral.